GUAAAAUAAAAAUCGUAACAAGGUUUCCGUAGGUGAACCUGCGGAAGGAUCAUUAUUGAAUAAAUUUGGUUUAGACUGUUGCUGGCUCCUUCGGGGGUAUGUGCACGUUUAUUCCGACUUUAUAUAACCACCUGUGCACUUUUUGUAAAUCUGAAAUAACACUCGAGGUAAACUCGGUUCGAAGAAUUGUCGCUGAUGUAGCCGACUUUUCCUCCCAUUUCAGCAUUUACGUUUCACAUAUACCCCUCUAAACAGUAUUUGAAUGCUCCUUUAGGCUUUCAAUGCCUGUAAAUAUAUAUACAACUUUCAACAACGGAUCUCUUGGCUCUCGCAUCGAUGAAGAACGCAGCGAAAUGCGAUAAGUAAUGUGAAUUGCAGAAUUCAGUGAAUCAUCGAAUCUUUGAACGCACCUUGCGCUCCUUGGUAUUCCGAGGAGCAUGCCUGUUUGAGUAUCGUGAAAAUCUCAACCUUUCCAAGCUUUGUUUUUUAACAAGCUAGUCAGGCUUGAACAUGGGAGUAUUUCUGCUGGGACAUAAAGUUUUCAGCUCUCCUUAAAUGUAUUAGCAAGGUUCACCCGUUGAAUCAUCUUUUGAUAUGAUAAUUAUCAAUGUCAUAAAUAGUGAUUCUUCAAAUGGCAUCUUGCUUAUAAUCGUCUUUCAUGACUCCGAUUUGUUUUUUUGUCUCAAAUCAGUAGAC
RNAcentral lists this ribosomal RNA (696 nucleotides) under Entoloma praegracile. RNAcentral describes it as "eukaryotic LSU rRNA". The stretch from base 302 to 455 matches the Rfam family "5.8S ribosomal RNA". The record is from RNAcentral. Lineage: Eukaryota; Fungi; Basidiomycota; Agaricomycetes; Agaricales; Entolomataceae.